RNAcentral lists this ribosomal RNA (1279 nucleotides) under Lens contradens. RNAcentral's name for it is "16S ribosomal RNA". The stretch from base 846 to 1189 matches the Rfam family "Archaeal large subunit ribosomal RNA", at positions 2150 to 2716 of the family's 2987-position model. The record is from RNAcentral. Lineage: Eukaryota; Metazoa; Mollusca; Bivalvia; Unionida; Unionidae.
UAGUACUCUCAUAUCUAAAGUAUCAAUCUUACUGAUUAAAACCUUAACUCAACGUAGUAAACUUUAAACACUAUCUUUUAUACACCGUAAGGAACUCUCAAUACUCUAUAAAAAACAGACUAAAUCUUCGUACCUUUUGCAUCAUGUAUUUGCAACAAAAUCUAGCUAAUUCUACCUCCCGAAAAGUGAGGAGCUAUUACUGUCAAACCAGUAGUGUGUCAUUAUUAUACAAAGACAGUAAUAGGGGCGAAAUACCUUACGAAUCACUUGAUAGCUGGCUGUCCCUUAAAAGCAUUUAAGUGCUGCUUAGUGAACUUAUUAAGAGCCUAAUACACUAAAGCUAUACCAGCAAGGACAAGCUUGUUGGUUCUAAAGAAGCAAGAUAAACACUAAUACCAGAAAAAGGCUUAAAAACAGCCAACAAAUUCCGUUACAGGAAAUGACUAAAAUAAACUAACAUCCAAAACCAACUCAUAGUUAAAGGAACCUUAUGGCAAAACAGACGCUUUAACGAACCGGCAAUUAUUAGUAUCAAAGGUUUCUCCUAAAUGCUAAAACAAGAAACCAUAACAUACCCAAUUACAACUACCCAUAAACAUUGAUAGCAAAUUCGGCAAAACUUUUCUUCGGCUGUUUACCAAAAACAUCGUUCUUUGAUCUCUAAGCAUAAAGAAUACUGUCUGCCCAAUGACCCUUAAUGGUUAAAUGGCCGCGUUAGCGUGAGCGUGCUAAGGUAGCGUAAUAAUUAGCUCUCUAAUUAGGAGCCAGUCAAUGAUUAAACGAAGAGAAACUGUACCAUCAAUGUAAAGAAAAAUUUUCUUCUGAGUGAAAAGACUCAGAUGCAAGAGACAGACAAAAAGACCCCGCGGAACUUCCCUUGACACUAACAGCAUAAGUUAAGCUGGAAGAAAAGAGGUUGGUUGGGGCAACCCUGGAGAAAAUAAAACCUCCAAAUAAAGACUUCAAUACAUAUACUAAACUUGAUUAGGAUAUUAUAGCAGUUACCCCGGGGAUAACAGCGUAAUCCAACUAGAGAGUACACAUCGAAAGUUGGGUUUGCGACCUCGAUGUUGGCUUAGGGAAAGCUACUUGGCGCAGCCACUAAGCAUAUAGCUAGUCUGUUCGACUACAAAUCCCCUACAUGAGCUGAGUUAAGACCGGCGAGAGCUAGGUUGGAUUCUAUCUUCUCCUCUAAAAAUUGACUCUUUAUUGUACGAAAGGACCCAAAGAGACACAAUCGCAAGCGUGCACAAUAGUUAAUUUAGCGUACUUUUAGUGU